GUUCAUCCAUACUACUUGGAGCCACUGC
This 28-nucleotide small RNA is filed under the name Bombyx mori (domestic silkworm). RNAcentral's name for it is "ovarian small RNA-17967". The record is from RNAcentral. Lineage: Eukaryota; Metazoa; Arthropoda; Insecta; Lepidoptera; Bombycidae.